GAUGAACGCUGGCGGCGUGCCUAAUACAUGCAAGUCGAGCGAACAGACAAGGAGCUUGCUCCUCUGACGUUAGCGGCGGACGGGUGAGUAACACGUGGAUAACCUACCUAUAAGACUGGGAUAACUUCGGGAAACCGGAGCUAAUACCGGAUAAUAUAUUGAACCGCAUGGUUCAAUAGUGAAAGACGGUUUUGCUGUCACUUAUAGAUGGAUCCGCGCCGCAUUAGCUAGUUGGUAAGGUAACGGCUUACCAAGGCAACGAUGCGUAGCCGACCUGAGAGGGUGAUCGGCCACACUGGAACUGAGACACGGUCCAGACUCCUACGGGAGGCAGCAGUAGGGAAUCUUCCGCAAUGGGCGAAAGCCUGACGGAGCAACGCCGCGUGAGUGAUGAAGGUCUUCGGAUCGUAAAACUCUGUUAUUAGGGAAGAACAAAUGUGUAAGUAACUAUGCACGUCUUGACGGUACCUAAUCAGAAAGCCACAGCUAACUACGUG
Molecule: ribosomal RNA, 497 nt
Filed under: uncultured bacterium
Lineage: Bacteria
Description: partial 16S ribosomal RNA
Rfam family: Bacterial small subunit ribosomal RNA
Source: RNAcentral